This 642-nucleotide ribosomal RNA is filed under the name uncultured Bacteroidales bacterium. Its description in RNAcentral is "bacterial SSU rRNA". It matches the Rfam family "Bacterial small subunit ribosomal RNA", at positions 75 to 716 of the family's 1533-position model. The record is from RNAcentral. Lineage: Bacteria; Pseudomonadati; Bacteroidota; Bacteroidia; Bacteroidales.
CUUGCUUUGAUGGAUGGCGACCGGCGCACGGGUGAGUAACACGUAUCCAACCUGCCGACAACACUGGGAUAGCCUUUCGAAAGAAAGAUUAAUACCGGAUGGCAUAGUCUUCCCGCAUGGGAUGACUAUUAAAGAAUUUCGGUUGUCGAUGGGGAUGCGUUCCAUUAGGCAGUUGGCGGGGUAACGGCCCACCAAACCAACGAUGGAUAGGGGUUCUGAGAGGAAGGUCCCCCACAUUGGAACUGAGACACGGUCCAAACUCCUACGGGAGGCAGCAGUGAGGAAUAUUGGUCAAUGGACGAGAGUCUGAACCAGCCAAGUAGCGUGAAGGAUGACUGCCCUAUGGGUUGUAAACUUCUUUUAUACGGGAAUAAAGUGAGCCACGUGUGGCUUUUUGUAUGUACCGUAUGAAUAAGGAUCGGCUAACUCCGUGCCAGCAGCCGCGGUAAUACGGAGGAUCCGAGCGUUAUCCGGAUUUAUUGGGUUUAAAGGGAGCGUAGGCGGGUUGUUAAGUCAGUUGUGAAAGUUUGCGGCUCAACCGUAAAAUUGCAGUUGAUACUGGCGACCUUGAGUGCAACAGAGGUAGGCGGAAUUCGUGGUGUAGCGGUGAAAUGCUUAGAUAUCACGAAGAACUCCGAUUGC